GAUGAACGCUGGCGGCGUGCCUAAUACAUGCAAGUCGAGCGAACGGACGAGAAGCUUGCUUCUCUUAUGUUAGCGGCGGACGGGUGAGUAACACGUGGAUAACCUACCUAUAAGACUGGGAUAACUUCGGGAAACCGGAGCUAAUACCGGAUAAUAUUUUGAACCGCAUGGUUCAAAAGUGAAAGACGGUCUUGCUGUCACUUAUAGAUGGAUCCGAGCUGCAUUAGCUAGUUGGUAAGGUAACGGCUUACCAAGGCAACGAUGCAUAGCCGACCUGAGAGGAUGAUCGGCCACACUGGAACUGAGACACGGUCCAGACUCCUACGGGAGGCAGCAGUAGGGAAUCUUCCGCAAUGGGCGAAAGCCUGACGGAGCAACGCCGCGUGAGUGAUGAAGGUCUUCGGAUCGUAAAACUCUGUUAUUAGGGAAGAACAUAUGUGUAAGUAACUGUGCACAUCUUGACGUUACCUAAUCAGAAAGCCACGGCUAACUACGUG
This 497-nucleotide ribosomal RNA is filed under the name uncultured bacterium. RNAcentral's name for it is "partial 16S ribosomal RNA". It matches the Rfam family "Bacterial small subunit ribosomal RNA", at positions 28 to 507 of the family's 1533-position model. The record is from RNAcentral.